UCGGAUGUGGUGCACGGUGCACGUCAGCUCCCAGUAUAUGUUUGGUAAUGAAUCCAGAUGGUUUCAAGCUGAAUGCCGGGGUUCGACUCCCUGCGUCCGAA
This is a non-coding RNA of Mycena rebaudengoi, 101 nucleotides long. Lineage: Eukaryota; Fungi; Basidiomycota; Agaricomycetes; Agaricales; Mycenaceae. The record is from the annotation of a GenBank genome assembly.